RNAcentral lists this ribosomal RNA (537 nucleotides) under uncultured bacterium. RNAcentral's name for it is "bacterial SSU rRNA". It matches the Rfam family "Bacterial small subunit ribosomal RNA", at positions 974 to 1509 of the family's 1533-position model. The record is from RNAcentral.
CCUGGCCUUGACAUACUAAGAACUUCCAGAGAUGGAUUGGUGCCUUCGGGAACUUAGAUACAGGUGCUGCAUGGCUGUCCGUCAGCUCGUGUCGUGAGAUGUUGGGUUAAGUCCCGCAACGAGCGCAACCCUUUUCCUUAUUUGCCAGCGGGUUAAGCCGGGAACUUUAAGGAUACUGCCAGUGACAAACUGGAGGAAGGCGGGGACGACGUCAAGUCAUCAUGGCCCUUACGGCCAGGGCUACACACGUGCUACAAUGGUCGGUACAAAGGGUUGCUACCUCGCGAGAGGAUGCUAAUCUCAAAAAGCCGAUCGUAGUCCGGAUCGCAGUCUGCAACUCGACUGCGUGAAGUCGGAAUCGCUAGUAAUCGCGGAUCAGAAUGCCGCGGUGAAUACGUUCCCGGGCCUUGUACACACCGCCCGUCACACCAUGGGAGUUUGUUGCACCAGAAGUAGGUAGUCUAACCGCAAGGAGGACGCUUACCACGGUGUGGCCGAUGACUGGGGGUGAAGUCGUAACAAGGUAAGCGUAGAUGA